This 658-nucleotide ribosomal RNA is filed under the name Bacillus sp. LT33. RNAcentral's name for it is "bacterial SSU rRNA". It matches the Rfam family "Bacterial small subunit ribosomal RNA", at positions 56 to 697 of the family's 1533-position model. Lineage: Bacteria; Bacillati; Bacillota; Bacilli; Caryophanales; Bacillaceae. The record is from RNAcentral.
UGCAAGUCGAGCGGACAGAUGGGAGCUUGCUCCCUGAUGUUAGCGGCGGACGGGUGAGUAACACGUGGGUAACCUGCCUGUAAGACUGGGAUAACUCCGGGAAACCGGGGCUAAUACCGGAUGGUUGUUUGAACCGCAUGGUUCAAACAUAAAAGGUGGCUUCGGCUACCACUUACAGAUGGACCCGCGGCGCAUUAGCUAGUUGGUGAGGUAAUGGCUCACCAAGGCAACGAUGCGUAGCCGACCUGAGAGGGUGAUCGGCCACACUGGGACUGAGACACGGCCCAGACUCCUACGGGAGGCAGCAGUAGGGAAUCUUCCGCAAUGGACGAAAGUCUGACGGAGCAACGCCGCGUGAGUGAUGAAGGUUUUCGGAUCGUAAAGCUCUGUUGUUAGGGAAGAACAAGUACCGUUCGAAUAGGGCGGUACCUUGACGGUACCUAACCAGAAAGCCACGGCUAACUACGUGCCAGCAGCCGCGGUAAUACGUAGGUGGCAAGCGUUGUCCGGAAUUAUUGGGCGUAAAGGGCUCGCAGGCGGUUUCUUAAGUCUGAUGUGAAAGCCCCCGGCUCAACCGGGGAGGGUCAUUGGAAACUGGGGAACUUGAGUGCAAAUAGGAGAGUGGAAUUCCACGUGUAUCGGUGAAAUGCGUAGAGAU